This 308-nucleotide ribosomal RNA is filed under the name Paenibacillus polymyxa. Its description in RNAcentral is "partial 23S ribosomal RNA". It matches the Rfam family "Bacterial large subunit ribosomal RNA", at positions 1652 to 1955 of the family's 2925-position model. The record is from RNAcentral. Lineage: Bacteria; Bacillati; Bacillota; Bacilli; Caryophanales; Paenibacillaceae.
AACCGACACAGGUAGGCGUGAAGAGAAUUCUAAGGCGCGCGGUAGAACUCUCGGUAAGGAACUCGGCAAAAUGACACCGUAACUUCGGCAGAAGGGGUGACUCGGUAGGGUGAAUAGCACGAGGGGGCCGCAGUGAAAAGGCCCAAGCGACUGAUUAGCAAAAACACAGGUCUGUGCGAAGACGCAAGGCGAAGUAUAAGCGCUGACGCCUGCUCGGUGCUGGAAGGUUAAGGGGAGUGGUAAGCCAUCGGGCGAAGCUAUGAACCUAAGCCCCAGUAAACGGCGGCCGUAACUAUAACCGUCCUAAG